AUUGAACGCUGGCGGCAUGCCUAACACAUGCAAGUCGCACGCGAAAGGGGGCAACCCUGAGUAGAGUGGCGGACGGGUGAGUAACGCGUAGGAAUCUACCUGGUAGCGGGGGACAACCCGGUGAAAACCGGCCUAAUACCGCAUACGAUCCACGGAUGAAAGCAGGGGACCGCAAGGCCUUUCUCUAUCAGAUGAGCCUGCGUCGGAUUAGCUAGUUGGUGGGGUAAAGGCCCACAAAGGCGACGCUCCGUAGCUGGUUUGAGAGAACGACCAGCCACACUGGGACUGAGACACGGCCCAGACUCCUACGGGAGGCAGCAGUGGGGAAUAUUGGACAAUGGGGGCAACCCUGAUCCAGCAAUGCCGCGUGUGUGAAGAAGGCCUUCGGGUUGUAAAGCACUUUCGGUGGGGACAAACAAGGUGGAGCUAACAUCUCCGCCUCUGAUGGUACCCAAAGAAGAAGCACCGGCUAACUCUGUGCCAGCCGCCGCAGUAA
This 496-nucleotide ribosomal RNA is filed under the name uncultured bacterium. RNAcentral's name for it is "partial 16S ribosomal RNA". It matches the Rfam family "Bacterial small subunit ribosomal RNA", at positions 29 to 523 of the family's 1533-position model. The record is from RNAcentral.